CAUAAACGAUGCCGACCAGGGAUCAGCGGAUGUUUGUUUUAGGACUCGCUGGCACCUUAUGAGAAAUCAAAGUGUUUGGGU
RNAcentral lists this ribosomal RNA (81 nucleotides) under Brassica napus (rape). RNAcentral describes it as "rRNA SSU_rRNA_eukarya". RNAcentral also lists the same sequence under 1 other name. The record is from Rfam by way of RNAcentral. Lineage: Eukaryota; Viridiplantae; Streptophyta; Magnoliopsida; Brassicales; Brassicaceae.